UGGGGAAUAUUGGACAAUGGGGGGAACCCUGAUCCAGCCAUGCCGCGUGUGUGAAGAAGGCCUUAUGGUUGUAAAGCACUUUAAGCGAGGAGGAGGGUACUGGUAUUAAUACUACCAGGUACUGGACGUUACUCGCAGAAUAAGCACCGGCUAACUCUGUGCCAGCAGCCGCGGUAAUACAGAGGGUGCGAGCGUUAAUCGGAUUUACUGGGCGUAAAGCGUGCGUAGGCGGCUAAUUGAGUCGGAUGUGAAAUCCCCGAGCUUAACUUGGGAAUUACAGUCGAUACUGGUUAGCUAGAGUGUGGGAGAGGAUGGUAGAAUUCCAGGUGUAGCGGUGAAAUGCGUAGAGAUCUGGGGGAAUACCGAUGGCGAAGGCAGCCAUCUGGCCUAACACUGACGCUGAGGUACGAAAGCAUGGGGAGCAAACAGG
Molecule: ribosomal RNA, 430 nt
Filed under: Pseudomonadota bacterium
Lineage: Bacteria; Pseudomonadati; Pseudomonadota
Description: Proteobacteria bacterium partial 16S ribosomal RNA
Rfam family: Bacterial small subunit ribosomal RNA
Source: RNAcentral